UGCUCCUGUUGCCAUAGAAAUCUUGGGAGUC
RNAcentral lists this non-coding RNA (31 nucleotides) under Rattus norvegicus (Norway rat). The record is from RNAcentral. Lineage: Eukaryota; Metazoa; Chordata; Mammalia; Rodentia; Muridae.